AGAGCCUCAAAACUUGUGCCGGGCUGUUGCUGGUGGUGCCGCCGGGGAUUACGGGGCCAAGACCCUCUGUCCCUCUUCCCCUUUCCGCGGGAUCCAGCUUCACCCAGGGAGCUGCUGUUGCUGCCCCGAGUGCGAAGAAGUUCGGAGACCGGAGCAUUAAGGCUUGGCGCCCCUCUCCUUUAGGAGCCAGAGCCGGGGCUUGCACCCUGGAAGUUUUUCCUCCACCGCUAACUUUGUCUAUGGAGGAGAGAGUCCAGGCAGGUGUGUGAGCGCUGCUGGCCACGGGCUUUCUGGAGGCACAACUGACUACCAAGAUGAAGAACUGAGACUCAGAAAGUAUGCUACAACAGAAAAAGCUCUGACUGUGGAGUUAAAGACCUUGGUUCAAAUCCAGCUUUUAACACUGUCUGCAUAACCUUGGAGAAGAGUUUGCCUUGAUCCCUUGAGAAGGUGGAGAACGAUGGUGUGCAGCUUCAUCACAAUUUGAAGAUCAAAGAUUGAACUGCCAUCGAGAAGCAGAGCUGUGGGACCAAGAAGGAGUUGAACAGACAACUCUCUUUUUGUCCUCCUUUCCUAACACAGUCAUCAUCCUCUCUUGCUGCUGCAGAAAUAGAUGCUUCAGAAGAAGAGAAAUUGAUCAGU
Vombatus ursinus (common wombat) is the source of this 642-nucleotide long non-coding RNA. RefSeq lists it as uncharacterized. The transcript is spliced from 4 exons. The record is from RefSeq and is a predicted model, not a curated record. NCBI's taxonomy places the organism in Eukaryota, Metazoa, Chordata, Mammalia, Diprotodontia, Vombatidae.